Molecule: ribosomal RNA, 453 nt
Filed under: uncultured bacterium
Lineage: Bacteria
Description: bacterial SSU rRNA
Rfam family: Bacterial small subunit ribosomal RNA
Source: RNAcentral
AGAGUUUGAUCCUGGCUCAGAAUCAACGCUGGCGGCGUGCCUAACACAUGCAAGUCGAACGAGAAAGUGGAGCAAUCCAUGAGUAAAGUGGCGCACGGGUGAGUAACACGUGACUAACCUACCCUUGAGUGGGGGAUAACCUAGGGAAACCUGGGCUAAUACCGCAUAAUACCUUCGGGUCAAAGGAGCAAUUCGCUUAAGGAGGGGGUCGCGGCCGAUUAGUUAGUUGGCGGGGUAAUGGCCCACCAAGACUGUGAUCGGUAUCCGGCCUGAGAGGGCGCACGGACACACUGGAACUGAAACACGGUCCAGACUCCUACGGGAGGCAGCAGUGGGGAAUUUUGCGCAAUGGGGGAAACCCUGACGCAGCAACGCCGCGUGGAGGAUGAAGCCCCUUGGGGCGUAAACUCCUUUCGAUCGGGACGAUAAUGACGGUACCGGAAGAAGAAGCCC